Molecule: small nuclear RNA, 92 nt
Organism: Otolemur garnettii (small-eared galago)
Lineage: Eukaryota; Metazoa; Chordata; Mammalia; Primates; Galagidae
Source: Ensembl
GCACAGACACUAAAAUUGGAACAAUACAGAGAAGAUUAGUAUAGCCCCAGGGCAAGGAUGACACACAAAUUUGUGAAGAGUUCCAUAUUUUU